UACGUAGGGGGCAAGCGUUGUCCGGAUUUAUUGGGCGUAAAGAGCGUGUAGGCGGCCAGACAGGUCCGUUGUGAAAACUCGAGGCUCAACCUCGAGACGUCGAUGGAAACCGUCUGGCUAGAGGACCGGAGAGGAUAGUGGAAUUCCCAGUGUAGUGGUGAAAUACGUAGAGAUUGGGAAGAACACCAGUGGCGAAGGCGGCUAUCUGGACGGUUUCUGACGCUAAGACGCGAAAGCGUGGGGAGCAAACAGG
This 253-nucleotide ribosomal RNA is filed under the name uncultured bacterium. RNAcentral describes it as "partial 16S ribosomal RNA". It matches the Rfam family "Bacterial small subunit ribosomal RNA", at positions 524 to 776 of the family's 1533-position model. The record is from RNAcentral.